This 52-nucleotide ribosomal RNA is filed under the name Phytophthora gonapodyides. Its description in RNAcentral is "partial 18S ribosomal RNA". Lineage: Eukaryota; Oomycota; Peronosporomycetes; Peronosporales; Peronosporaceae. The record is from RNAcentral.
ACAAGGUUUCCGUAGGUGAACCUGCGGAAGGAUCAUUACCACACCUAAAAAA